Long non-coding RNA from Coregonus clupeaformis (lake whitefish), 1918 nucleotides. RefSeq lists it as uncharacterized. The record is from RefSeq and is a predicted model, not a curated record. Lineage: Eukaryota; Metazoa; Chordata; Actinopteri; Salmoniformes; Salmonidae. The transcript has 3 exons.
CCCAGAGACAACACGUUGUGGUCCGCCCCCAGCUGCCAAGUGGACAUUUGUUGUCAAGUCUGCAUAUGGGUGCCACACACGCACAUUUCGCUCGGCAAAUAGGAGAGAAAAUUGCCUUCCAUAAAGUUGAUGCAAUCUUCCAAUGCAUUUCAACAAUAUUGCCAAAUGACCAGGAAUGGAUUACCGCCGACACGGUCACUUCUGCUGCAUGUCAACCGUCAAACCACUGGUGUUGGCUACGUACAAGACCUGGUGGAUUCGUUGUUCAGCAGCGUCGUGGGAACCCCCUACCAUAUCAGGAGCUGUUACAGAAGGCUGAGGCAGUGGCCAGACACCAGUCCUGCUUCAGAGUAAUGGAGGACACUUGAAUCAGGUUGGUCACAUUUGAUCUGGUCAAAAGUCCUGGAAUUCACCUAACCACCAUUGAUAAUGUAAUCAGUGCUGUGUGUACAGUAUAUGUGUGUCUUGUAUGUUGUAAGGAGGUGCCCCCUUCCACUGUGCCAAUGGACUACUCCUGGGCCUGAGUGAGUAAUGCCAACCAGUCAGUGCCAUGCUGGCACAUGUCCCUUGUGAAUUAGCUGUGAAUCAUAAUCUCUGAUUGGCUAUGUUCAACCGUGUAUUUACUGUUGGCUUCCAUGACUGUAUGGUGACGGUCUUUCUCUCUCUCCCUCCCUCUGUGAUAAAGGAGCUGGGUCAGAUAUAGGAGCCUAAGUCAGGCUCCUUCAUGACCAGGAUCCUGGAGCUGAUCUACGCUGCCAUGGACAUCAGGCAUUGGCAAACACCUCAGAAGGGACAACAGUUGAUAAAUGGAGGACAGAAGAGAUACUUUUGAAAUGGAGACCUCAGGUUGAUACUGAUGUCUGAACUGGGACAGAGAUCUUGCACUCAGCAUUCAAAUUAUACAAGAUAUCUAUUACUUGUUAUGGUCUUUUGUUAUUAUUGAAUUGGACGGUACUAUCAAUGGGGGGGGGGACGAAGCCAUACAGAAAGCACAUUGUUAUAUUAGCAGAACACUGCUUCUACAGUGUUAUGUGAAGUAUGGUUUAUUCUACAUGGAACUGUUACAAUUGAACAUUAUCUACGUAAGUGGCUCUGGAUAAGAGCGUCUGCUAAAUGACUAAAAUGUCAAAUGUAAAUGUAAUAAGUUCAGCAAUUGCACUCUUCUCAUAUUACUGAUUAGGCUACUAACCUCCUGGAGGAAGCUUUGAAUUUGUCAGUAGCCUACAGAGUGGUAUGAGAAGUGUGCCAUCCUCCACAUCUGCCUGUAGUUAUUGAACUCUGCCUGCUGGACCAAUGGGUUGAAGCAAACUGUCAUAUCCAGGAUGGAGUGUCAUGCACUCCACUUCUCCGGUCCCCUGACUGCACCUGUCCAUAACCUGUAAUACAUUACAUAGAUGGAAGGGACUUCAUCACCCACUGGAGACUUGAAGACAUAACCUCACCCAGUGUGUGGUUAGACAGCCAUUCUAGUUCUGGAUAGACAGCUGAAGUUGUACACUACAUACAACAUAUUGUUAUUUGCUAGGUAAGUGUAGGCAUACUGUCUUCAUAAGCACAUCAAUAUGAUAUUUACAGCAUAAACUGUUUUGUCUUUGUAACACGAACACACUCCACAUGUAGCCUACACCUGUAGGGAUGUUAGUAGUACUAGGAUUUUCCCCCCGGGAAAGAUCUAACAGAGGACAUAAGGAGAGACAAGACGAGACAAAAUUAGCCAGUUAUAGAACUAGUGUUUCUACAGCUAGUGUUGUAGGAGAGCUGAGCUGGCUCAAGACCGGGCAUUGAACUCACAGUUGUCACCGUUUUCACAGUAACAUGUCUUUACAUGAAGUGAUGAAACAUUGAAACUAAGUUGCAAGCUACUUUGGUAGCAAGGUGUUGUAGAAUGAGUGUCUUAUGAAACACAUUCCAGACACUG